AAUUUCCCUCCCCUUUUCUCUUGUGUCUCCCUCCUGAAACACGUUAAUUUUUACUUUCCCCCUAUUUUCCUUUAACCCUAAAUGGAUUCUCCUCCCAAAAUUCAUCCCCAGAUCUCGAUCUCGAUCUCGUACUGAUACCCCCUCUUCUCUUUUUGUCUAAUAUCUUCUCUGAUUGAACGCGAACCGAAGGAAGAGGAUCAUAAUUCGGAAGCCAUCUGAUUCAAGACCUUAAUCGGAGCUCUGAAAACCAAUUAAGGACUGACGUGACUAAGGAUCCUACUAGAAAAACUUGCAUUGGUCAACUUAACAAGCCUCACACAUCAAGAGAAGCUUGCUUUCUGGAUUAACAUAUAUAAUUCGUGCAUGAUGAAUGCGCUUCUUGAACAUGGAAUACCAGAGACACCUGAGAGAGUCGUUGAACUAAUGCAAGAGGCAAAAAUAAAUGUUGGGGGUCAUCUUUUAAAUGCAUUUAGCAUUGAGCAUUUCACAUUGAGACUCCCCUGUCACGCAAAAUAUACUUCGCUAAAGGGUUUCAAGAACGAUGAAUUAACCGCAAGAAGCAUAUUUGGGUUGGAGUUGUCUGAACCACUAGUAAAAUUUGCAUUAUCAUGCGGAAGCUGGUCUUCUCCUGCUGUAAGAGUGUACACAACUUCAGAAGUUGAAAAUGAACUUGAAGUUGCAAAAAAUGAGUAUUUACAGGCUGCAGUUGGGAUUUCAACCACAAAGCAUCUGCUAAUGAUACCAAAACUGUUGGAUUGGUAUAUGUUUGAUUUUGCUAAAGACAUGGAGUCUUUUCUUCACUGGGUAUGCCUACAAUUGCAUGGUGAAGUUGGGAAAGAAGCAAUGAAGUGUCUUGAAAGACAAACGAGUGAAACACUUUCAGAUCAUGUACGGGUUAGCCCUUAUGAGUUCCAUUUCAGGUGUUUUCUGACACAAUCAUAUGCAUUAAUUUUGGGAUAUACAGGAUCGAGAAAUGCUGGAGGAAGCCCGGAAUUUAAGGAUUUAAGGUAUGCUGGUAUCUUUUUGUUCGUUGUGAUAAUGGUCCUGCUCCUUGGACUAGCGAUGAAAAUGGAGACCGCCCGAGACCUUUGCCUGUCAUUAAGGAGCUGAAGGAUGCAAAUGAUGUGACAGAGAGAAAGGGAUCCCCAUCUUGGGAUUAUGAUUGAGCUGAAGAGGCAAAGGGAAAUGGCUGCUGCACAGAAGGAAGAAGAGAGAAAGAAGUGUGAAGAAGCAAAGGCAACAGUGCUGCUCGUAUUAAGCAGUGAGUGAGUAUGUGGGCUUGAAGAAAACAACCUAGAAAUAGCUCUUAGUUUUUGUGUAUAUUUGUUUCCCUUUUAAACUUUUAUCUAUAGAUUUUGAUUAGAAGUUUGGUUUUAGUUGGUAUUUAAAUUGAAAACUUAUGUAUGGAUUUUAGGA
RNA transcript from Helianthus annuus (common sunflower), 1416 nucleotides. RefSeq lists it as uncharacterized. The transcript is spliced from 10 exons. NCBI's taxonomy places the organism in Eukaryota, Viridiplantae, Streptophyta, Magnoliopsida, Asterales, Asteraceae. The record is from RefSeq and is a predicted model, not a curated record.